GUGGCUAAGGCUUCACUUGUUCGACAUCGUCAGUGGCUCCGUUUGCUUUUGUAUUCUUAAAGAAAGAGAAGUCGAAACCAUAACACCGCUCUUAUAGGAUGACCGGUUUUUGGAAGUUUACUAAUCCCAAAAUGAAAAUGAGAACUGGUCAAGAUUAGUUUGGUUCGGUUUACGUCGUCUUUCAUCAUUGGCAUGUAAA
Molecule: non-coding RNA, 199 nt
Organism: Arabidopsis thaliana (thale cress)
Lineage: Eukaryota; Viridiplantae; Streptophyta; Magnoliopsida; Brassicales; Brassicaceae
Source: RefSeq